RNAcentral lists this ribosomal RNA (1395 nucleotides) under Pandoraea sp. ATSB26. RNAcentral's name for it is "16S ribosomal RNA". It matches the Rfam family "Bacterial small subunit ribosomal RNA". The record is from RNAcentral. Lineage: Bacteria; Pseudomonadati; Pseudomonadota; Betaproteobacteria; Burkholderiales; Burkholderiaceae.
AGUCGAACGGCAGCACGGGUGCUUGCCCUGGUGGCGAGUGGCGCNNGGGANNGUAAUACAUCGGAACGUACCUUGUAGUGGGGGAUNGCUCGGCGAAAGCCGGAUUAAUACCGCAUACGCUCUGAGGAGGAAAGCGGGGGACCUUCGGGCCUCGCGCUACAAGAGCGGCCGAUGUCAGAUUAGCUAGUUGGUGGGGUAAAAGCUCACCAAGGCGACGAUCUGUAGCUGGUCUGAGAGGACGACCAGCCACACUGGGACUGAGACACGGCCCAGACUCCUACGGGAGGCAGCAGUGGGGAAUUUUGGACAAUGGGCGAAAGCCUGAUCCAGCAAUGCCGCGUGUGUGAAGAAGGCCUUCGGGUUGUAAAGCACUUUUGUCCGGAAAGAAAUCCUCUGGGUUAAUACCUCGGGGGGAUGACGGUACCGGAAGAAUAAGCACCGGCUAACUACGUGCCAGCAGCCGCGGUAAUACGUAGGGUGCAAGCGUUAAUCGGAAUUACUGGGCGUAAAGCGUGCGCAGGCGGUUUUGUAAGACGGAUGUGAAAUCCCCGGGCUUAACCUGGGAACUGCAUUCGUGACUGCAAGGCUAGAGUAUGGCAGAGGGGGGUAGAAUUCCACGUGUAGCAGUGAAAUGCGUAGAGAUGUGGAGGAAUACCGAUGGCGAAGGCAGCCCCCUGGGCCAAUACUGACGCUCAUGCACGAAAGCGUGGGGGAGCAAACAGGAUUAGAUACCCUGGUAGUCCACGCCCUAAACGAUGUCAACUAGUUGUUGGGGAUUCAUUUCCUUAGUAACGUAGCUAACGCGUGAAGUUGACCGCCUGGGGAGUACGGUCGCAAGAUUAAAACUCAAAGGAAUUGACGGGGACCCGCACAAGCGGUGGAUGAUGUGGAUUAAUUCGAUGCAACGCGAAAAACCUUACCUACCCUUGACAUGUACGGAAUCCUGCUGAGAGGUGGGAGUGCUCGAAAGAGAACCGUAACACAGGUGCUGCAUGGCUGUCGUCAGCUCGUGUCGUGAGAUGUUGGGUUAAGUCCCGCAACGAGCGCAACCCUUGUCCUUAGUUGCUACGCAAGAGCACUCUAAGGAGACUGCCGGUGACAAACCGGAGGAAGGUGGGGAUGACGUCAAGUCCUCAUGGCCCUUAUGGGUAGGGCUUCACACGUCAUACAAUGGUCGGUACAGAGGGCUGCCAAACCGCGAGGUGGAGCUAACCCCAGAAAACCGAUCGUAGUCCGGAUCGCAGUCUGCAACUCGACUGCGUGAAGCUGGAAUCGCUAGUAAUCGCGGAUCAGCAUGUCGCGGUGAAUACGUUCCCGGGUCUUGUACACACCGCCCGUCACACCAUGGGAGUGGGUUUUGCCAGAAGUAGGUAGCCUAACCGUAAGGAGGGCGCU